UACAGGGGGGGCAAGCGUUGUUCGGAAUUACUGGGCGUAAAGGGCUCGUAGGUGGCCAACUAAGUCAGACGUGAAAUCCCUCAGCUUAACUGGGGAACUGUGUCUGAUACUGGAUGGCUUGAGUUUGGGAGAGGGAUGCGGAAUUCCAGGUGUAGCGGUGAAAUGCGUAGAUAUCUGGAGGAACACCGGUGGCGAAGGCGGCAUCCUGGACCAACACUGACACUGAGGAGCGAAAGACAGGGGAGCAAACGGG
RNAcentral lists this ribosomal RNA (253 nucleotides) under uncultured bacterium. Its description in RNAcentral is "partial 16S ribosomal RNA". It matches the Rfam family "Bacterial small subunit ribosomal RNA", at positions 524 to 776 of the family's 1533-position model. The record is from RNAcentral.